This 460-nucleotide ribosomal RNA is filed under the name uncultured bacterium. RNAcentral's name for it is "partial 16S ribosomal RNA". It matches the Rfam family "Bacterial small subunit ribosomal RNA", at positions 338 to 795 of the family's 1533-position model. The record is from RNAcentral.
CCUACGGGAGGCAGCAGUGAGGAAUUUUGGUCAAUGGACGAGAGUCUGAACCAGCCAAGUAGCGUGAAGGAUGAAUGCCCUAUGGGUUGUAAACUUCUUUUAUAUGGGAAUAAAAUGUUCCACGUGUGGGAUUUUGUAUGUACCAUAUGAAUAAGGAUCGGCUAACUCCGUGCCAGCAGCCGCGGUAAUACGGAGGAUCCGAGCGUUAUCCGGAUUUAUUGGGUUUAAAGGGAGCGUAGGUGGAUUGUUAAGUCAGUUGUGAAAGUUUGCGGCUCAACCGUAAAAUUGCAGUUGAAACUGGCAGUCUUGAGUACAGUAGAGGUGAGCGGAAUUCGUGGUGUAGCGGUGAAAUGCUUAGAUAUAACGAAGAACUCCGAUGGCGAAGGCAGUUCACUGGACUGCAACUGACACUGAGGCUCGAAAGUGUGGGUAUCAAACAGGAUUAGAUACCCGAGUAGUC